RNAcentral lists this ribosomal RNA (847 nucleotides) under uncultured bacterium. RNAcentral's name for it is "bacterial SSU rRNA". It matches the Rfam family "Bacterial small subunit ribosomal RNA", at positions 559 to 1402 of the family's 1533-position model. The record is from RNAcentral.
CGUAAAGAGCUCGUAGGCGGUUUGUCGCGUCUGCCGUGAAAGUCCGGGGCUCAACUCCGGAUCUGCGGUGGGUACGGGCAGACUAGAGUGAUGUAGGGGAGACUGGAAUUCCUGGUGUAGCGGUGAAAUGCGCAGAUAUCAGGAGGAACACCGAUGGCGAAGGCAGGUCUCUGGGCAUUAACUGACGCUGAGGAGCGAAAGCAUGGGGAGCGAACAGGAUUAGAUACCCUGGUAGUCCAUGCCGUAAACGUUGGGCACUAGGUGUGGGGGACAUUCCACGUUUUCCGCGCCGUAGCUAACGCAUUAAGUGCCCCGCCUGGGGAGUACGGCCGCAAGGCUAAAACUCAAAGGAAUUGACGGGGGCCCGCACAAGCGGCGGAGCAUGCGGAUUAAUUCGAUGCAACGCGAAGAACCUUACCAAGGCUUGACAUGGGCCGGACCGGGCUGGAAACAGUCCUUCCCCUUUGGGGCCGGUUCACAGGUGGUGCAUGGUUGUCGUCAGCUCGUGUCGUGAGAUGUUGGGUUAAGUCCCGCAACGAGCGCAACCCUCGUUCCAUGUUGCCAGCGCGUAAUGGCGGGGACUCAUGGGAGACUGCCGGGGUCAACUCGGAGGAAGGUGGGGACGACGUCAAAUCAUCAUGCCCCUUAUGUCUUGGGCUUCACGCAUGCUACAAUGGCCGGUACAAAGGGUUGCGAUACUGUGAGGUGGAGCUAAUCCCAAAAAGCCGGUCUCAGUUCGGAUUGGGGUCUGCAACUCGACCCCAUGAAGUCGGAGUCGCUAGUAAUCGCAGAUCAGCAACGCUGCGGUGAAUACGUUCCCGGGCCUUGUACACACCGCCCGUCAAGU